This 144-nucleotide small nuclear RNA is filed under the name Anas platyrhynchos (mallard). Its description in RNAcentral is "U2 spliceosomal RNA (ENSAPLG00020012276.1)". It matches the Rfam family "U2 spliceosomal RNA", at positions 1 to 153 of the family's 192-position model. Rfam says of the family: U2 is a small nuclear RNA (snRNA) component of the spliceosome (involved in pre-mRNA splicing). Complementary binding between U2 snRNA (in an area lying towards the 5' end but 3' to hairpin I) and the branchpoint sequence (BPS) of the intron results the bulging out of an unpaired adenosine, on the BPS, which initiates a nucleophilic attack at the intronic 5' splice site, thus starting the first of two transesterification reactions that mediate splicing. Lineage: Eukaryota; Metazoa; Chordata; Aves; Anseriformes; Anatidae. The record is from Rfam by way of RNAcentral.
AUCCCCUUUCCUUCCAGAUACAGUGUAGUAUCUGUUCUUAUCAGUUUAAUAUCUGAUAUGUCCUUGAUGAGAGGACUUUAUAUUAAAUGGAUUUUUGGGCUCGGGAGUUGGAUCUGGAGCUUGCUUUUUUUUUUUUUUUUUUUU